GGAGGAAACAGCCACUGCUUGAAAGACUCACUGAAUGUUGGGUUAAUCAAUUCCCUCUGUUUAACAACAACAGCAAAAACCCAAGAUAUGGGAUGGGAACCAGGGGCUGACACACAGUGGAUGCCUAGCAGAGAGUUGUUGAAUGAUUGCUGAAUGAAUCCCAUGAAGCUUACCACACCCCUCAGACCCCACCCUCUCGGUGUUGGCCCAGCUGCAAGUCCACAUUCAGGCAGAUAGCCAGGCCUGCUCCUCUGGCUGCUCGGCCUCUUGGAAGCUCUGUUUCUCCCUUUAUGUUGCUGGAUGAAGUCUCUGCUUUCCCUCCCCACAACUUCGAGACCUCUGGAACUAUGAAUGGAAACCAAAUCAGCCUCAUAAUUUGUAUUCAUCUGUGGGGACCCAGGUGAUUCAGAGAGGGCCUGAACUGUGCAUGUGGCACGUGGCCACUCCACCCAGCUGCCUUUACCUAAAAUAUUAACUGUUAUUGAUGGAGUCCCUCCUAGGAUGCUGGACCUAAGGCCUUAUUACAUUAUUUCAUUCAGUCCUUUAAACAAAUUUUAGGGAGUAAAUGUGUAUAUCCUUUGGGGACAGGUGAAGAAAUUGAAGCCCAGAAAGAUGAAUUCAAUUGGCCAAAAUCACUGUCAGUGGCACAAUUGGGUGUUGAAUCCAGAUGUUUGAUUCCAAAGGUAGUUCUCUUAUCCACCAAUCAGAAGUUGGAUACAUCAUCAGUGGGUUUGCCCUGGAAAGGACUCCUGUAUCCAGAAGACAGGGAUGGAGACGGGGAGAGACAUCCCACCCUGACAUGGGCUCAUGUUACUCUCUGGGAUCAGACUGGAGAAAGCACCUGGCUCAGCCUGUGGCAGCUUUAGCUGCUCACCUCUCCCACUCCCCCGGGGACCCCCUGGG
Molecule: long non-coding RNA, 903 nt
Organism: Bos taurus (domestic cattle)
Lineage: Eukaryota; Metazoa; Chordata; Mammalia; Artiodactyla; Bovidae
Source: Ensembl